AUCUGUGCGGUUAAAUGAAAAUAAUAUUUCAGCAUUCCGACAUUUGCAUCCAGGAAAAAGAGGUUGGAGUAAAAAUGAAAACAAAAGCAGAGGAUGGAGGAGGAAAGCAGAAGCCCCUGCGCAGCAUUAGUCUCCGCCCAUCACUGGAAUUAUGUCGGCAAAUCCCUAUCUGCAAUUCAAUGUUCCUGGAAUUAAUCGGUGCAUCUUAUAAGAUUUGCUAAUUGAUGACAAGGAAAAAAGGCUACCCAGUCAGUAGCUUUUGAUACCAUUAAGAAGAAUGCUUGUCUUUGGUCAAAAAUCGACAAGCGAGUUUGUAUUGAACAAUCUUAUAAGGCAUUUCGUGAGGCAUUAUUGAGGCUUCCCCAAUGUUUCACUGAGACAUUGUACACUCAUAAAGGAUGCGCAGUAUUUUCAGAAGCAGGCUGAAGACAUAACAGUUGCAGUCAGCAAAGUUCGAGAAAAAUGAUGCCUUUUAUGAUGAUCAAGAAUCACGUAAAAGUUACAGCGAUGACGAAUCAUUAGUCUCCACAAGUAGGAAGAAGAGAACCAAGCUUUUACGAGAAAAAAGCACUGAAAAAUCUUGUUUGAUUUGCAACGAACGUUCAAGUUACGAUGCACUUCUAUACAAUGAUGGGGGACUGGCACGCUGUUCGGAAGAGAAAGCAGCACUCAAGUUGAAAACCUUGGUUGCCAAGAAGUUGUUAGAUGUUAAAUUUCAAAUUUAAUUUUCCUUUGUAAUAAAGCUUGUAUCUCGUGGCAUAUGAUUGGGGGGUACAUGAUAUGGAGGGGGUGCGACGAAAUUGAGCCCAGGGUGGGUAAGAAAUAAGUUUAGUGAGGUAAGAGGACCCAACAUGGCUGGGUCCGAUGUGAAAUUUUUUUUGAAGUUAUACCUUUUAAAAGGGCUAGAUGGCAGCGU
Rhopilema esculentum is the source of this 916-nucleotide long non-coding RNA. RefSeq lists it as uncharacterized. NCBI's taxonomy places the organism in Eukaryota, Metazoa, Cnidaria, Scyphozoa, Rhizostomeae, Rhizostomatidae. The record is from RefSeq and is a predicted model, not a curated record.